AACGAACGCUGGCGGCAUGCCUAACACAUGCAAGUCGAACGAGACCUUCGGGUCUAGUGGCGCACGGGUGCGUACCGCGUGGGAACCUGCCCUUAGGUUAGGAAUAACUCCCCGAAAGGGGUGCUAAUACCGGUUAAUGUCAUAGGACCAAAGAUUUAUCGCCUUUGGGUGGGCCCGCGUUGGAUUCGCUAGUUGGUAGGGUAAAAGCCUACCAAGGCGACGAUGCAUAGCUGGUCUGAGAGGAUGAUCAGCAACGCUGGGACUGAGACACGGCCCAGACUCCGACGGGAGGCAGCAGUGGGGAAUAUUGUACAAUGGGCGAAAGUCUGAUCCAGCAACGCCGCGGGAGUGAGGAAGGCCUUAGGGUUGUAAAGCUCUUUUACCCGGGAUGAGAAUGACAGUACCGGGAGAAGAAGCUCCGGCUAACUACGUG
This 433-nucleotide ribosomal RNA is filed under the name uncultured bacterium. RNAcentral's name for it is "partial 16S ribosomal RNA". It matches the Rfam family "Bacterial small subunit ribosomal RNA", at positions 29 to 507 of the family's 1533-position model. The record is from RNAcentral.